Molecule: unclassified non-coding RNA, 334 nt
Filed under: soil metagenome
Description: partial contains 5.8S ribosomal RNA, internal transcribed spacer 2, and large subunit ribosomal RNA
Rfam family: 5.8S ribosomal RNA (bases 1-120)
Source: RNAcentral
GAUGAAGAACGCAGCGAAAUGCGAUAAGUAGUGUGAAUUGCAGAAUUCCGUGAAUCAUCGAAUCUUUGAACGCACAUUGCGCCUCCUGGUAUUCCGGGAGGCAUGCCUGUUCGAGCGUCAUUUCAACCAUCAAGCCCUGCUUGCGUUGGGGUCCUGCGGCUGCCCGCAGGCCCUGAAAACCAGUGGCGGGCUCGCUAGUCACACCGAGCGCAGUAAUACAUCUCGCUUUGGGCGUGCGGCGGGUUCUUGCCGUUAAACACCCCCUUUUUACCAAGGUUGACCUCGGAUCAGGUAGGAAUACCCGCUGAACUUAAGCAUAUCAAUAAGCGGAGGA